GGGCACUAGCUAUGUAAGUCGCUCUGGAUAAGAGAGUCUGCUAAAUGACGUAAA
This is a non-coding RNA of Salmo salar (Atlantic salmon), 54 nucleotides long. NCBI's taxonomy places the organism in Eukaryota, Metazoa, Chordata, Actinopteri, Salmoniformes, Salmonidae. The record is from Rfam.